This 301-nucleotide ribosomal RNA is filed under the name uncultured bacterium. RNAcentral's name for it is "partial 16S ribosomal RNA". It matches the Rfam family "Bacterial small subunit ribosomal RNA", at positions 509 to 807 of the family's 1533-position model. The record is from RNAcentral.
CAGUAGCCACGGGAAUACGAAGGGGGCUAGCGUUGCUCGGAAUCACUGGGCGUAAAGGGUGCGUAGGCGGGUCUUUAAGUCAGGGGUGAAAUCCUGGAGCUCAACUCCAGAACUGCCUUUGAUACUGAAGAUCUUGAGUUCGGGAGAGGUGAGUGGAACUGCGAGUGUAGAGGUGAAAUUCGUAGAUAUUCGCAAGAACACCAGUGGCGAAGGCGGCUCACUGGCCCGAUACUGACGCUGAGGCACGAAAGCGUGGGGAGCAAACAGGAUUAGAUACCCCAGUAGUCCCUGUCUCUUAUAC